CGCGUAAGUAAUCUACCCUCGCAUCUGGGAUAACCCACCGAAAGGUGUGCUAAUACCUGAUACGUCUGGAAUUAUACUUUGAAUCCAGAGAAAGGUGGCCUCUUCAUGAAAGCUACUGUGCGGGGAGGAGCUUGCGUACCAUUAGCUAGUUGGUAGGGUAACGGCCUACCAAGGCGAUGAUGGUUAGCGGGUCUGAGAGGAUGAUCCGCCACACUGGAACUGAAACACGGACCAGACUCCUACGGGAGGCAGCAGUGAGGAAUAUUGCGCAAUGGGGGCAACCCUGACGCAGCGACGCCG
RNAcentral lists this ribosomal RNA (300 nucleotides) under uncultured Desulfobulbaceae bacterium. Its description in RNAcentral is "bacterial SSU rRNA". It matches the Rfam family "Bacterial small subunit ribosomal RNA", at positions 114 to 399 of the family's 1533-position model. Lineage: Bacteria; Pseudomonadati; Thermodesulfobacteriota; Desulfobulbia; Desulfobulbales; Desulfobulbaceae. The record is from RNAcentral.